AAUAUCUUUUGUUUGUUUGUAUUUGUGACUGUAAAUGGGUGUUAACAGGGCAUAAACAUAUUUAAUCCUUAUCUUAAACUUCUCCAAAGUCUCCCCUAACAAUAUAGGCUUCAUAAAUGCAUAAUUUUUUGAGAUAUCAUAUCAUCCUCUGAUUUGAAAUGAAGCAUGACCAUUGGUUAUAAGUUGCAAUAGUAUUCACACUUUUCUAUAAAUAUUAACAUAUACAUUUAAUAAAUAUAUUCUUAAUGUUGGUUGUUUUUAUCUUUUAGCUUAACGUUAUAUACUUCAAUAUUAAUAACAUUUGAUUAAUCAUGAGUUUUGAAUUUGAGCCAAAACUCUCAAGCUUUCUAAGUAUGUUUUGAUUAAUGUAUCUAUUCAGAAUGAAGAAACCUUUUUAUUAUGUGUAGGUUAUGUGUGCAUUACUUUCCAAAAUUGGGGCUGCCUGGUUAACUCAUAAAUACGUAACAUGGGAUUUUUAUUUUACAAAAAUCAGUGUUUUUAUAUGUAUAUAUAUAUUUUCGAAAGCAGGAGAGAUAAAUGUGCAAGUUUCCAGAGCUGUUUCUGAGCUGCAAGGCGAAAUCAAAACGCCGUCAGAGUGGGCGGGGUUUAGGCAGUCAAAGCUAGAGUCUGUUAGAAAAAAGCGCGAAAGAAGCAUUUGAAUUUCUGUUUCGUCGUCAGUGACAGAAAAGCUAAGUUAAUAGUCGAAUUUACGUUUUCGUAACAGCCUUUAACGUUAAGCUCCGUUAAUAAGUCUAGUAUUUUUCAAAUGUGCGUUUCUUUAUACACGGCUUUGUCUUGUGGUUGUAACGUUAUUUAUUUUGUUUUCGUCUUUGUGUUGAUAUCUUUCACUUUUUGCCUGAGAGGAAUUCAGCGAAAACGUUUCCGUGAGAGCGCCGACGGAGACGUUUUUACAGCCUUUAAACGUUAUUAAUAUUAGUUAGCCAACAGUUUACCUAGUUAUCGGUAGCUAGCUAGCCAGGAGAAUAUUUUUCCCCCACCCGUUGCCUCAGCCGGAGUUUCCAUCUUGGGAUCGCGGAUCCUUCACCAACUGCUAAUGGGGAUUCGGGACUUCCAGAAAAUCAGAGACUAACGGUAGCUACCACUCCCUCAGAUGUAGAAGAGGCCCAGCUGUCUCCUCCCUAUCACUCCAAGGAUUAUCAUGCUUGGAGAGACUGCAAAAAAAUGGAUGCUGUCGAUCAAGGGGAGGGUCGUAACCCCACCUGGUGCUCACAUGGUGGACUUCACCACUGCCUUGGCCGCUCUCUUCGCCUGUUACGUAUUCAACCUACAGUAUUAGGUGGAAGCCAGCACAACACUGGAGUUUGAUCAGAGGGCUCCAAAUAGGAUUCUCUGUCUCCAAGGUCAAGGCAUGCAAGAGGCCAUAGACCUUUGCCAAGUGGCAGGGGAAGUUUAUUUUCCUUUCUGUUUUAAAUGUUCAUGCAAAUGUUAAAUAUAUAUUUUUUUAAUGUUCAAUGUUUUAUUUUAUUUCAAUAUUGCCAUAAUGUUAUUUAUUGCUCUUUAGAAUGGGGUAAUCAGUUAUUUGCACAACUUCAAAGUAGUUAAAUUUUUUGACUGUAUUGUAUCAAUUUGCAUUAUUGUUCCAUUAUAGCAACUAGUCAUACGGAACUAGUGAAUGAACUAGUAACAGUUUGCUCUGUAACUUUACAAAUCUUGUAAUGAAAUAGGCUCGUUGUAUCAAUUUGUAUUAGCCUAUUGUUCCGUCAUAGCAACCUGUCAUACAGAACUAUUGAAUGAACUAAUAACAAUUUGCU
This is a non-coding RNA of Pimephales promelas (fathead minnow), 1772 nucleotides long. NCBI's taxonomy places the organism in Eukaryota, Metazoa, Chordata, Actinopteri, Cypriniformes, Leuciscidae. The record is from RefSeq and is a predicted model, not a curated record.